GCGGUCGUAGCUCAGCUGGAUAGAGCACGAGAUUCCUAAUCUCGUGGUCGUGGGUUCGAAUCCCACCGAUCGCACCA
This 77-nucleotide transfer RNA is filed under the name Holosporaceae bacterium. Its description in RNAcentral is "tRNA-Arg". It matches the Rfam family "tRNA". Rfam says of the family: Transfer RNA (tRNA) molecules are approximately 80 nucleotides in length. Their secondary structure includes four short double-helical elements and three loops (D, anti-codon, and T loops). Further hydrogen bonds mediate the characteristic L-shaped molecular structure. tRNAs have two regions of fundamental functional importance: the anti-codon, which is responsible for specific mRNA codon recognition, and the 3' end, to which the tRNAs corresponding amino acid is attached (by aminoacyl-tRNA synthetases). tRNAs cope with the degeneracy of the genetic code in two manners: having more than one tRNA (with a specific anti-codon) for a particular amino acid; and 'wobble' base-pairing, i.e. permitting non-standard base-pairing at the 3rd anti-codon position. Lineage: Bacteria; Pseudomonadati; Pseudomonadota; Alphaproteobacteria; Holosporales; Holosporaceae. The record is from RNAcentral.